UAAAAAAGAAAACUCCACCUCCUCUAUGGCAGCCACCUAUUAAAGGGAGAAAAGAGGAAAAAAAAAGGGAAGAAGAGGAGAUUUGUAGACAAAGAGGUGAAGUUGCUAGUGGGUGAAGUAGAAAAGAUAGCAGCACUGGUUGAGAAAGCUAGACGCAGAAGUUUGUAGAAACUUGCAGAAGCGAAGUCGCGUGCAGCUGGAGAAGAAGCAAAAACGCGGUGAGCCGAGCAGAAAGAUAGAACCAUAAAGCAGAAGCAAACGUUGAGCCAAGCAGAAGGGAGACAAGCUAAAAGAGAAGGGAUUAAUCAAGUAAGGAGAAUGCCCCAAUUUGGAGUGUUUCUAAGGAUGGAACUCUUUGUCAAAAUCUUGCUCAUUUCAACUGGAUACUUUCCUUCACGGUUGGCCCGGAAAGCCUAUUUGGCAGCAGAAGGCUUCCCCUGAAGUUGCUUUCUUUGUCUAGGAAGCAACAUGUGAGCGUAUCCUUUACCAUGGGUAAUUUCAGUAAGAGGAAGGCAUCAUUGCUAAUAGUUGUCUCUUUUGUUCUGCUAUUUCAAAUCGCUAACCAUCUUUUGUUGUGUCUUCAAGCGAGAAGGCUUCCCUUUCAGGAAUCAAGUGGGUGACAGGUGGAUCUAUUAGGAAUGUAGCUACUAUGCUGUUACGGUAAUCACUGUCAUGACAGAAAGAAGAAGCUUGUAUCUCUUAUUCCUCAUGUCAUUUCUUGGACUAUGGAGAGAAAGGAGUAGGCGAUAGUUGGUCCAAAUUGUAAAUAUUUUGAUCCCUCUGCAACAAACCAAAAAAGUUAAGUAUUUUGUUUAAAUAUCAUUCUAUCCUCUGUCAGAACUCUUUUAGGUGACAUUUACCUGAGUUCCUCUUUUAAUUUUCUAAUUUAUGAGCCCAUAAAUGGGUGGCAACCCCUUGGUGCCUCUAGAAAUAUCUUUAUGUGUUUUUAAUAAUUUUUUACAUUUAAUGGAUAAUUUUUUCAUUUAUUUUUACCCAAUAUAUUCAGCCUCUUUGAGGAGAGUUGGGGAUUCCCACCCACUCUUGAGUUUUUUUUUUUCCUCUGCCUAUUUGAGAGUUUGGCUGAAGAAUAAAUGAUGUGAAAUGCUUUGGAGAAAGGCACUUUUUGCUGACUGCUGGGCUUUGUGGUUGGAACACAAUCCACAACUUUUAAUUAAUGUGUUAAUCCUACAAAUGCUAUUUGGGGUAGAAUGAUCUGUAUAGCCUCUUAGGGGGCUAAGGGGGCUUGCCAUUGACUAUUAGGCAAAGUAAUUGGGAAACUGUCAUUAAAUUUUUACAAAAUUUAUCUCUUUUUCCUCUCUUUUUUCCCCCCCCUUUUCUAACUUGUUUUCUUUCUUUAUAUAUGAUGAUACCUUGCUCUCUUUCUAUGGUUUUCCUCUUUCUUUCUUUUUCUUUAAAAAAAUAUGAAAAAGAAAAUAACCAUAAGUCAUUCUACUCGCGAGCUACCAGUUUCAGCUAUAAACAAUGGUACUUUAUUAUUGUAGUAUAGCUUGUGUGUAGAUUAUGCAUGUUUGUUCAAGUAUGUGCAUUUUAUUGUGAAAAUUCUUAUAGAAAUUAUAUUUCCAAAAUCUUUUUAUUAUAUUUUAUUUAUUUAGAGAAUAAAUAAAAAAUACUCUAAAAGUUUCAAAAACUCAUAAAUUUUAUGAAAAUAAUAGAUAAUAUUUAAAAUUGUUUGGACAUUUUUGGAAUCCAACCUGCAUGCUUGUUGCAUUGGUUGACACUGUUGCGUGCCACAGUGUCUUAUCCCUACUCUCACUUGUUUCUCCUCAUGUAUGUUGUAAUGCCAACAAAGUAUUUCCAUCAGAAAGGUGCAGGUUUAAUAUUCUCUUUCCUUUUUGAUCUGGUAAUAUAGUUCUAACCGCUCCUUCUCACAGUAGUGUCAAUAUGCCAUCAAGCUCUCCUGUUCUUCUUUCUCUUGUUUUCUGGAGAAGUUAUUAGCUACUUUAGUGAGGGAAGUGGUGUUGUGCCUUUGAUGGUGGAAGAUUUGUGACUGGAAGGAGAGUAUUCACCAUUCUGUGCUUUUUCCUUUUUUAAGGAUAAUUUGAUAAUUGUAAAAUUAAUAAAAAAAGUACACUCUUAAAAUACCAUUCCUAUUGUAGAGCUCAGAAAGCCAUUAGAAAAAUUCUGUCUUGGGGGAUUCUGCUGGGGGUUAAUUAAGCUGAAGAUGAAUUUAUUUAGAAUUAUCUUUUUCUGCAGUGGGAGGGAAGUUGUGAUCAGGAGGAUUUUGACUGAUGAAAAUCUAAGAAAAGAAGGGGAAGAUUCAAUGUUAUCUUUAUUAUGGGUGACUGAGACUUGAUAUCUGGUCAAUGGUUUCAGGAUGAGAUCCAAUUGUGGGAAGGUAUCGGGUCAAUAAUAGAAGGAAAAACUUUUUUUGUUUAUCACACUAUUGGACAUCUGAAAGACAAGCAAUGGAAAGGGUUUCAGACGAUGUUGCUGCCUCUUCUGGUAGACUUAGGCAUAUAUGGUUCUAGACCUUCUGUUUCUUGUUUAAGGGUUAUCUUUUUUCUUCUACAUAGGACUUGGGGAAGCUCACUGAUCUCAUUUAUAUUAUAUUCCUCAUUUUUCCAAACGCGGGCAACACUCUCUUAAUUUGCUGUUGAUGCACCUUUUUUGGAGUCCUAGAAAUGCAUAAUUAAGCUGAAACAAGAAAGGUAUGUACAAAUUAAUGUUGGAGUUCGAAAACACGAGUGUGAUAAAGUUGACAGGGUGUCACAUGACGUGUCUAUGGCAAGGAUCUAUCCACUACAAGUGUGCUUUUAUGGUAUCUUUCUUGAGUUAAGGAGUAUAAAUGGUCGGAACCCUAAUUUCCUUUGAGACUGAGAAAACAAGAGAAUGAGGAGAUGGGGAAGAGAGGCAGCGGUCGAUAUGAUCUUCGUCCAUUGGUGCGAUCCUCAUCCGUGUCUGGUAAAACUUCAUGCUUUUUAUCUUGUUUGCUCGUCUCCAUCAUCUCAUCAUCGCCAUCAAUUUAUGAAUUACCAUGUUUAUGCUCUCUCUAUCUCUCCUCUCUCAUGGAUUUUGAAUCUUUUGAAUCUUCAGUAUUUAAUUUGCAUCUUGUCUUUCUAGAGAUGAUUAUUGAAUCAGUUCUUGUUUUAGGGAUUUGAUUCUUGAACGAUAUUUUGUGAAACCUUACUAUUUGUUGAACUAGACUUAGCACCUAGUUAUUAAAGGGAUUUUAUGUGUUGAUAUCUAGAUCCUUCAAUCACAAUCAAUUUUGCUCAUAAAAUCUUCUAAAAGAAGUUUUUGGGAUAAUUAGUUAUCUCAUUAAUUAAUUUUCAUGGUAUUAAAGUCAUGUUCAACCCUGAGCCCACAUGUAGUCUCACUGCACUUCUACUAUGCACUUUUGGUAUUGGAACUGGAUGCCUAAGUUCAAAUCUUGGGAUUCUCAUAUAUUCUGUUACUAUUGUUUACUAUUCUUUUUGACAUAGUUGGCAAGUUCAAAUUACGCAGAGUCUAGUAAUCUCUCUCUGUCUUCCAACUCCUAUUACUAAACUUAACAUCUCUCCCCGGGAUAUAAGAUCAUGUUAGAGGAUGUAGUAUAAAUAAUGAAGUUGGGUCCUUUUUUAUGCAAAUCAUCUUGGAAUAUUUUUUCCAUCGUUUUAUUAGUAUAGGUCGUAAUCUUUUUAAUUGGCUUGUUUAUUCAUUGUUUAGUUAAGAUUUCUAUUUAAUUGUCAUUUCCUAUUUAGUGUUCUAGUCAUAAUUGGAUUUCUAGAGAUACUAUAACUAGUUGGGUGCUAUUCCGUUGUUAUUCCAACGGCUCGUAUCUAAAAUCAAUAGAUAUUUUCUCAUGAUUGAGUACUUCACUCCGCAUGCUUGUCAGUUGUAACAAUUCUGUGAUUGCAGUUGUGUUUUUGACCUCUGUGAUUGCAGAUUGCCAAUCAUUAUCAUUGUGGGUUGCAUCAUUUCCUUUUUCCUUUUUCUAUUAGCUUAAAGAUUUUGUAUUAUUGCUUAUUCAACUAAUUGUUUCUGAAUUAUCAUGUUAUGAAGUAAGAGAAAAUCAACCAUUAUGGUGGAAGUAGUUAGUUAUUAUACAAUAGAUUUAGAUAAUGUGAUUGCCUUGAGAUCUUGUGAAUUUAAAAGGAAGAUUUUGCCCUUUCUACGAUGUUUUUAAUGAUUCAGCACUGGUUAUAUAUUGUAAAGCCAACUAUAUAACCAAUUUGUAGCAUUUCAAUUAAUUUUUUUGAAUAUGACCUAUACAAAUUGUUAGAAAAUGCAAAAUGUUUGAUAAGUUUGAUACAACCAUUUUAGAUGACAACAGGAGUUCACAUUGUUGGAUAAGGAGGAAAGAAUCUGUUGGUAGUUCAGCUGAAAAAGGUCUCUUGAACUAUUUCAAUUUUUUGUAAACAGAUUGUUGAUUAUUAUUUCACUAACUACAGGUUGCUUCAAGGGGCAUAAUGUAGCUUUCUCAACGCUACUGUCUACUCCUUUUAUUUAACAAUGUUUCUUUUAUAGGAUUUUUUUUAACAAUGUCAUGUUAUGAAUGGUAAUAUAUUACACAAAAUUGAGAUCAUUUUAACAUUUUUGGAUUUGGAAUAUGAAGACAUUUGAUUUUAAUUGAAUUGUACAUGAUGAAAAAACAAAUUUCAAUAACACCCGAUGAGGAUGCGUUGCUUGCUAUAAAGAAAGCACAAGGCUAAAAGUGCUAUUUCACUCUUCAUCACUUGGGAUACCAUGGAUGAUAGGAAUAAAAGAACUUUCAAUAGGGUAUAAAGCCCUUUUCAUGGGACAAAUAUCUUCGAUUGUAUAUCCUAUACUUUUGAUUACUUGCCACACUUUUGCCAGCGAUGAAGAGUUUGUGUUGUGGGCGUCAUAGAGCUUCUUUCUUGCAAGGUAAUCAUUUGUUCAUGGGUGACACCUUCUUGGUGCUUUCAUUCAACAUGUGGCUUCGGAAACGUAAUGUUGUGUUUAUUGCACAAAUGAAUUCCAUAUGUCUGCAGAAUCAACAAUGCCUUGAUUAACAUGGAUUGUUGAUGUAAAUCAACUUUUGAACUUGCUACAGAGCUAGUUUUGGUUUUGACCGGCAAUGAUGUCCUUGUUCCAUACUGUUUACACUCUAUGAUCUUCUGUUUAUCUUGUGAUUUCUUGAUAUAGCAUGUUUACAUCUUUCCAAAAAAAGCAUGUUUACAAUCAGUUGCCUUGCCUUGUGGACCUAGCUUGUGCGACACAAAUCUAAACAUGUUGGCUGUGUUUGUUUUUCUGCUGAGAUUUUGAUGAUGCUGCAUGCUACUCAGUGUUAGUAACCAUGUGAAAAUUAUUUGGUUGUUAUGUGUUAUGAUAUUCUUCAAUACAUACAAUAUUCCGUGAUAAAUAACAGUCCCUUAUGAAAUAUUCUUGUCUUUGCCUCCUGGUUGGAUAUUUCUUUUUAUUUCUUUUCUUUUUUUUUGGCAUAUGAACUGUAGGAGGAAAGGAAAAAGAUGUCUGCUGAGUAAAGUUGUGUACUAGUGGUAGUUGAUAAAUGUCCCAGCAGUGUUGUUUAUCCUAUGCUCCAGACUAGAAAAUACUUAAACUCAAGUAUUAGAGAAAGAGUAUUAGGACAUGAAAGUGUAGUAGAAGUUACAAAGUGCCAAAAAAAUAGUUCCGCUAAAUUUUGUUUUUUCCUUUUCAGCUCACUGUUAUGUACUAUGUAGUACCUGGUAGUGGCUUAUUAGUUGGAGUGCCAGCUGUCUUACGCCAUGGUUGUUGGGAUGUUUACCCUUUUUGGGUAAUACAAAUAUCUAUUUAGGUGACUAAGCAUGAGUAUAUCAUUAAUUUCAGAUUCUUACUCCCCAACUCUCGCUGUUUCUCUUUCUUCUCUCUUCUUCCCCUUUCUUGCCUUCCCGUUUCUCACUCAUACACCUAACGCUAAUAAUCCCUGGGCUGUCUUGAUCCCUAAUGAGUCAAGGCCCUUAUAGAGAAAAGCCUGCUAGAUAAUUCAGCAUUGCAUAUGCCUUUAUUGCCCAAUUUCAAAGGGAUUUCGGGUUUUUGACCGUAAUUUGAUCUAGGGACUUGUGAACUAGAAAAAAAUUUCCCAAUUCCCAGAUACCAAAAGAACAAUGUUAUAAUGGAUAUCCAUUUUGUGCUACAACUAUACAUGCUUUUCUUUUAAUAUCUAACCAAAGAUUAUUUUCUUAAUUAUUCUUUUUACUCUUUUCUAUUCCUUGAAAAAAGAGAAACAGAAGAACUUUUGACAAGUCCACAUCUUCAUUUCAUGAGAUUAGAGAGCACUGGUCUUAAUCAAACUUUGUACUCUGCUCAAAAGCAGAUCAUCUAUGAUGAAACUGAUAUCUUGGAUCUUUUUAUUUAAUCUCCAUUAAGAAAAUGUAAAUUCUGUUUAGUCUCUUUAGCAUUUGGGAUUACAUCCAUUGGUGCCUUUCGCUGUGGUAUUUUUCUUCUUAAAGAAAGCCCUCAGUAUCUAAUAUAUGAUUAUUUUAUUUGAUUAUGGUGAAAAUAGUACACACGAAUAUUAUUUAUCAAUCAAGGAAAGAGCUUUUGAUUUAGAAAUGAGGAGUUUUCAGAUACUUGAAAAAAUUCAGUAAACAAAUCUAAUCAUCUGAACUAAUCAGAUUUAAAUGAAUUUACUGGUUUUAACUAAACUGACAAUUUUUCAAUUUAUCUUUGACAUACUUUUUAAACUAGCAUAGUCAAUUGUCCAGUUUAUGGUUGGAUUCACCACUCUAGUCCACUUUUAAUAUUGAUGAUUUCUUGAACAAGUGACUAGCUCUCAAAUAAUAUGUCUCAUGAAGAAUGAAAAAAUGCAUGUGUGUUAUAUAACCUUUGUCAUUUCUUCUAAAAUGCAGGCACCUCAUUGGAGUGGGAUGAUGAUUGAGAGGACAAUCGAGGAAGACGCAAAAAGUGUAAAACAAGUCUAUGUAGAGACUUGAGACAAUGGGCUGAACUCCCUGAUGAUCUUCUUUAUGCUUUAACAAAGCAACUCAGCAUGGUGGAUUAUUUGUCAUUCAGUCGUGUCUGGACUAGAUGAAGGUCAAGUUCUAAGGCCUUUAGAAAGGAUUUUCUUGCAUCUCUAUCUCCACUUAUUGUUAUCAUGUUAUCCUGGGAGUUGGAAGGGAGGCCUGAAUUAUUUAGCAACAAUGUGGAAUUUGUGGUUGUGGCUGAUCGACUCUUGGUAGUUGAUUUUGUUCCCUAUUCUUCGCUAAUAAUUCAUGAGAUAGAUUUUUCGGAGAUGAAGUGGGUGAAGAUUACUGAUCUCGGCGAUCAAGCUUUGUUUUUGUCUAGCUUCAAAUGCAUUAGAUUGAUCAAUUCAAAAAAGUGGGGAGGACCAACUAACUGCUUGUACUAUCGUCCUUUUGUUGGCUUGAAGUGUCAAUUGCUCUCCCUUGACUUAGCAUCUUUGGCGAGAUUGGACCUGGUAGAUACCUGCGAAUGAACUUUGGAUGGUUCUUCCCUGAUCAAGUUUAUCAGAUGGAUGUUGUUUGGGAUGAUUAGUAUGGUGAUAUGCCAGAACAGUAUACUAUAGAAUGAAGUCUUUACUAUUGCUCCUUUAGUAUUUUGCCUUGUGAAUUUGGUCAAGGCUAUAGUUUGAAAUAGCUUUCUGAUGCUAUUAGUCUUUUUUUCUCUGGUGAAUUUGGUUUUAUUGGAUGUUGGAUUUCUUGUUGGAUUUUUGUUGUGUUUCUCUAUUUGUAUUUUUCUGGUGAAUUUUAUAUGGGUUGAAUAAUUUCUUGGGAUUUUAUAUUAUUAGA
Molecule: non-coding RNA, 7691 nt
Organism: Carica papaya (papaya)
Lineage: Eukaryota; Viridiplantae; Streptophyta; Magnoliopsida; Brassicales; Caricaceae
Source: RefSeq, a predicted model, not a curated record